Molecule: transfer-messenger RNA, 358 nt
Filed under: bacterium
Lineage: Bacteria
Also listed under: 1 other name
Description: 1-14-0-20-49-13 sp002796305 Standard tmRNA
Rfam family: transfer-messenger RNA
About the family: Bacterial tmRNA, also known as 10Sa RNA or SsrA, is named for its dual tRNA and mRNA-like properties.
Source: RNAcentral
GGGGGCGAAACAGAUUCGACGGAGAUUCGCAUUCGCGCUUUGUUGUCAUGCCGACCGCUUCAGUCAAGUCGUUAAACUGAUUGGAACAAUUAAUUGCCAACUACGAACCGUUAGCAAUCGCUGCUUAAAAUAAGCAGCAUGCCACCCGUUGAUGCCUGCUAGGCGGUAGUGGCAACGACAGUAGGCUGGCUGGGCCCGGCGCCUGUAACGGACCUGGCGAGACAAUUUGCAGGAUAGCAACUUUGAGAUCCCGUCUGCGGGAGCAAGAAGGAGCGAAACCUAAAUUCGCAGAAUAAGCAUGUAGAGGCGAGCGUGAUGUAUCUUCGGACGCGGGUGCAAUUUCCCGCCGCCUCCACCA